This 78-nucleotide non-coding RNA is filed under the name Ralstonia sp. 25mfcol4.1. The record is from RNAcentral. Lineage: Bacteria; Pseudomonadati; Pseudomonadota; Betaproteobacteria; Burkholderiales; Burkholderiaceae.
UUGAGCCGUAUGCGGGGAAAACUCGCACGUACGGUUCUUAGGGGGGAGGGAUCCAGCAAUGGGUUCCUCCUACCCUCC